This is a non-coding RNA of Pelobates cultripes (western spadefoot toad), 216 nucleotides long. Lineage: Eukaryota; Metazoa; Chordata; Amphibia; Anura; Pelobatidae. The record is from the annotation of a GenBank genome assembly.
UGCACAGUCCUGCUGCUGGAGACCGACCGUCUCCCCUUUGGUUACCCAUCUCUGCUGCUGGAGGGGGAGACCGACUGUCUCCCCUUUGGCUAAACAGCCCUGUCGCUGGGGGGGCAGGACCGACCGUCCCUACCCCCUGUGCUGGCAGUGUAGAGACUACGGUCCCAUCUGCACAGUUGUGGGGCUUACUGUCUCCCCUUUGUACAUUAAGCUGCC